AACAACUGACCUCCCCCCAGCUACCACACAAGGUUAGUCCAUUAAAAUGCCCUUUGUCAGAUGGAGAAAGGCCCACAGGUUAAGACCAUGGUAGAUACUGUAUUUGUGUGGUUGAACAACUAACCCACUCAAAACUGUCACACAAGGUUAGUCCUUUAAGUUGUCCUUUGUCAACUGAAGAAAGGCCCCCAGGCUAGAACCUCUUGC
This 207-nucleotide long non-coding RNA is filed under the name Vigna radiata. RNAcentral's name for it is "long non-coding RNA (VRAD_LNC007012)". The record is from RNAcentral. Lineage: Eukaryota; Viridiplantae; Streptophyta; Magnoliopsida; Fabales; Fabaceae.